This 433-nucleotide ribosomal RNA is filed under the name uncultured bacterium. RNAcentral's name for it is "partial 16S ribosomal RNA". It matches the Rfam family "Bacterial small subunit ribosomal RNA", at positions 29 to 507 of the family's 1533-position model. The record is from RNAcentral.
AGCGAACGCUGGCGGCAGGCUUAACACAUGCAAGUCGAGCGGGCCCUUCGGGGUCAGCGGCAGACGGGUGAGUAACACGUGGGAACGUACCCUUUGGUUCGGAAUAACGCUGGGAAACUAGCGCUAAUACCGGAUACGCCCUUUUGGGGAAAGGCUUGCUGCCGAAGGAUCGGCCCGCGUCUGAUUAGCUAGUUGGUGGGGUAAUGGCCUACCAAGGCGACGAUCAGUAGCUGGUCUGAGAGGCUGAUCAGCCACACUGGGACUGAGACACGGCCCAGACUCCUACGGGAGGCAGCAGUGGGGAAUAUUGGACAAUGGGCGCAAGCCUGAUCCAGCCAUGCCGCGUGAGUGAUGAAGGCCUUAGGGUUGUAAAGCUCUUUUGUCCGGGACGAUAAUGACGGUACCGGAAGAAUAAGCCCCGGCUAACUUCGUG